RNAcentral lists this ribosomal RNA (428 nucleotides) under Gemmatimonadota bacterium. Its description in RNAcentral is "Gemmatimonadetes bacterium partial 16S ribosomal RNA". It matches the Rfam family "Bacterial small subunit ribosomal RNA", at positions 355 to 776 of the family's 1533-position model. The record is from RNAcentral. Lineage: Bacteria; Pseudomonadati; Gemmatimonadota.
UAGGGAAUCUUCGGCAAUGGACGAAAGUCUGACCGAGCAACGCCGCGUGAGUGAAGAAGGUUUUCGGAUCGUAAAACUCUGUUGUUAGAGAAGAACAAGGACGUUAGUAACUGAACGUCCCCUGACGGUAUCUAACCAGAAAGCCACGGCUAACUACGUGCCAGCAGCCGCGGUAAUACGUAGGUGGCAAGCGUUGUCCGGAUUUAUUGGGCGUAAAGCGAGCGCAGGCGGUUUCUUAAGUCUGAUGUGAAAGCCCCCGGCUCAACCGGGGAGGGUCAUUGGAAACUGGGAGACUUGAGUGCAGAAGAGGAGAGUGGAAUUCCAUGUGAGCGGUGAAAUGCGUAGAUAUAUGGAGGAACACCAGUGGCGAAGGCGGCUCUCUGGUCUGUAACUGACGCUGAGGCUCGAAAGCGUGGGGAGCAAACAGG